Molecule: ribosomal RNA, 274 nt
Filed under: uncultured bacterium
Lineage: Bacteria
Description: partial 16S ribosomal RNA
Rfam family: Archaeal small subunit ribosomal RNA
Source: RNAcentral
AAACCAGCACCUCAAGUGGUCAGGAGGAUUAUUGGGCCUAAAGCAUCCGUAGCCUGCUCUGUAAGAUUCCGGUUAAAUUCAUUAGCUCAACUAAUGGCCUGCCGGAAAUACUGCAGAGCUAGGAAGUGGGAGAGGUAGACGGUACUCGGUAGGAAGGGGUAAAAUCCUUUGAUCUAUUGAUGACCACCUGUGGCGAAGGCGGUCUACCAGAACACGUUCGACGGUGCGGGAUGAAAGCUGGGGGAGCAAACCGGAUUAGAAACCCGAGUAGUCC